UACAAUAAGAGUAUGCAUUUUCCUUCCCUCUUCAAGGGCUGAAAUACCCCCUAUUGCUCCUAGCACACUUGUAAAUGUGUAGAAGUCCACAAUAAUGCCAGCCUGCCUCAUUUCAAAGAAACCAUGGAGAGCAUCCUUACCAUAUCCUAAAUUGGAUAAACCAGAAAUGAUUGCAUUCCAUGAUAUGUGGUCUUGUGAUGUAACACCUGACCGUAACUUCUUAAAAUCCUCAACAUUGUUGCUACACUUUGAGUACACGGUGAGAAGAGUUGCUGCUAUAUACACAUUCGACUCGAAACCAUGUC
RNAcentral lists this unclassified non-coding RNA (305 nucleotides) under Hevea brasiliensis (rubber tree). Lineage: Eukaryota; Viridiplantae; Streptophyta; Magnoliopsida; Malpighiales; Euphorbiaceae. The record is from RNAcentral.